GACGAACGCUGGCGGCGUGCCUAAUACAUGCAAGUAGAACGCUGAAGGAGGAGCUUGCUUCUCUGGAUGAGUUGCGAACGGGUGAGUAACGCGUAGGUAACCUGCCUGGUAGCGGGGGAUAACUAUUGGAAACGAUAGCUAAUACCGCAUAAUAGUAGAUGUUGCAUGACAUUUGCUUAAAAGGUGCAAUUGCAUCACUACCAGAUGGACCUGCGUUGUAUUAGCUAGUUGGUGGGGUAACGGCUCACCAAGGCGACGAUACAUAGCCGACCUGAGAGGGUGAUCGGCCACACUGGUACUGAGACACGGCCCAGACUCCUACGGGAGGCAGCAGUAGGGGAUCUUCGGCAAUGGACGGAAGUCUGACCGAGCAACGCCGCGUGAGUGAAGAAGGUUUUCGGAUCGUAAAGCUCUGUUGUAAGAGAAGAACGAGUGUGAGAGUGGAAAGUUCACACUGUGACGGUAUCUUACCAGAAAGGGACGGCUAACUACGUG
RNAcentral lists this ribosomal RNA (495 nucleotides) under uncultured bacterium. Its description in RNAcentral is "partial 16S ribosomal RNA". It matches the Rfam family "Bacterial small subunit ribosomal RNA", at positions 28 to 507 of the family's 1533-position model. The record is from RNAcentral.